Molecule: long non-coding RNA, 4822 nt
Organism: Sapajus apella (tufted capuchin)
Lineage: Eukaryota; Metazoa; Chordata; Mammalia; Primates; Cebidae
Exons: 2
Source: RefSeq, a predicted model, not a curated record
GUUUGCAGUGAGGCAAGAUUGCACCACGGCUCACAAAAAAAAAAAAAAAAAGAGCACUCCAGGAUUAUUACAACCUAACCCUGUUAUGUGAUCUGUAAAUGAAAUUGCACCACCUCGGGGGUCUCAGAAACUUUACACAGGCACCAUACAGAAGCAACAAAAUUCCCCCAAGAGAAACUCACAUCAACUCAGGCCACAAAAGAAUCCCACAAAUAAAGUUUCAAGGUACAUGAGCUCUCAGUAUUUUUAAAAAAUUCACAAAACACAGGAAAACAAGGCAAUAGAGAGAAAUGAUAAAACAACAGAUGGGACGACUAGACCUAUAAAGAAUUGGACUGAAAUACUGAUAUCUUCCAUGUAAAAUAUUAAAAUGCCUAGUAAGUUUAAGGAAAUAAUGGAUUGAAAAUAUAAGUUAACACCUAAAGACCAGAUUGUUGACAUUUAAGAUAACACCUAUUUUUCGCUCCUAGAUUGUUCACACCUAAAAGCUAGAUCAUUAACAUAUUAGAUAAGUUAACCUAGAUAGGUUAACACCUAAGACUACAUACCAAUAAGAGUGAACUAGGUAAUUUAGAUCAACUUUCCCACAGCGAACAACUAAAAAAAGUUGGAUAAAAAAAUUUUUUAAUCACUUGAAGACAUUGAAACACUAUAGGGCAGUAAAGAUCUAGGGGGCCAAGAUCUAGGAGAAAAAGAAGGCCUAGAAUAGUCUUCCUGGUAUUUGAGGCUGUUUUUCCUAAAAUGGAAUCUAAUUUUUAAAAAAGGAAGAUAUUACCUUGGUGCAAAAAUAAUUGCAGUUUUUGCCAGCACAGCAGAAACUGCAGUUACUUUUGCACCAACAUAAUAAAAGACUGAGAAGCUCGGCAAAAUUGCAGUCUGGGACCUGCCAACUCUGGUAAACUUCCUGAUAUCUUGAGUCAGGAUCUUGAAGAGAAAGGGACAUCUUAGAAAUAAAGGUAAACCUUAAAUAGACUACUCAUAAGAGUAAAUAAUACCCAACUUCAAAUAAUCCCAAUCCCUGACAUGAGAUUAAGGUAAUCUGAGAUGUCUAGUACCUUUCUGACAGAAGAUUACAUCAUUCUAUUAAUAACAAGCUUCAAGUUAUUUCUUGAUUUGUAUGUAUAAUGUUUGUAGUUAAUAAAAAUAACCAGGCUCAUUAGGAAAUAAAAUGUCAUUGAAAACAAAAAUUUAAAAAACAAACAACAAACACAUAGGAACUCAGAUAUCAGAGUUAUCAGAGACACACUUUAAAAUAACAAUGCUUCAGUGUGUUUAGGAAGAUUAAGGAUAGGAGCAGCUUUGGCUAUGGUGACGUGAAGAAGUUAGGUUAACCCUCUCCACAAAAAUCAAGCAUAAAACAGGAUAGAAUUGCCCAAAGCAACAAUCUGAGGGGUCUGGAAAUUGACCAAAAUCAGACAAAAAAAAUUAAAUAGGAUUUAUUCUUAAAAACACUGUUUGCUAGAACUUUGGUUGAGAAUAGUGGGACUCUGACUUUCUUGCCGAAGACUGCAACCAUCACCUUUACUCCAAGCUCUGUUGGCAAGAAUAGUAGUUUGACCAGUGUGAAGCUGAUUGAGAAAGUUAUCAGCUUUUCUAUCAGGGACAGACUUUGUAUGAAGAAGACGGAGGAGAAGACCAUUGGCUUGUGAAAGUGAUGGAUUCAUGGAGAAAUGAACCAGGGAAGACUGCAACCUUGCUAGCCUAAGAUUUGCAGUGAGUAGUGAACUAGUAAAAUAUCUAACGUAAGAUCCUGGAAAUCAGAGAUUCACAGAGGGACCAAAUAGCUUGUUCACACAUCCCUGGAUGACUGAAACAUGGGCAUGUGCAGGGGAGACCAUGAAGAUCUCACCAAAAAGUAAAAGAAAAGGGAGACAAAAACUGGCUGAGUUUUGAAUAUGCUGGCCAACCUUCUCACACAGAUUGAUUGCCAGACGGCAGGAGCCUUAAAGACUCAAGGUGUUUGAGCACAGUUUCCACCCACAUGAUUAGCUGACCACUAAGCUAUGCAGACAUGGGAUGAACACUAGGGAGUCAGGCUAGAAAAUAAAACUGAAGAACAAAAACUGAGCAGACACAUGAGCACCAUGGGAAGAGACAGAUUCCACAGUCUAAGUCCAAGCAACUUAGUCUGUGGGAAGAAAAAAACCCUCAAAAAUAAAUAAGACUCCAGCAUUGCUACAAUAUAUUAUCUAAAAUGUCUAAUUUUAAAAAAUAUGAGUGAUGCAAAGAAACAGGAAAGAGUGAAACAUACUCAGAGGGAAAAACAGUAAAUAGAAACUUAGAGUGAGCCCAGAUGUAUUUGGGAGCCAGAGCCUUCAAAGUAGCUAUUAUAAAUAUAUUCCCCAAAGAUAAGGGAAAAUAUAAUGACAGUGACUCAAAAGUAGGAACGCUAAAUAUAGAAAUGGCAACUGUGAAAAUGCAAAUUUUAGAGUGGAAAAGGGCAAUUGCUGAAAUGAAAAAUUAGCUAUACGGGAUUACCAGAAAGAUCUGAGAUGGCAGAAGAAAGCAUCAGUGAACAUGGAAAUAGAUUAACAGAGAUUAUUCUGAAGAUCAGACAAAACUAAGUUUGACCAAACAUUAAACAAAGCCUCAGAGAUUUGUACAACAAUGUCAAGCAUACCAACAUACCUGUAAUGAGAGUCCCAGAUGGAGAGGAGAAAGAAAGACAAACAAUGGGAAAAUAGAUUUUAAAAAAUAGUGGAGCCCCAAUUAGGAUCAACACAAAGAUAUCUAUGAUAGACACAUUAGUCAAAAUGCUCAACGACAAGGGCAAAACAUUAAAAGCAGCAAGAGAAAGACAUAUAUAUUACUGCAGAGGUAAUAAUGCUAGGAUUAAUGCUAGAAUUAACUAAUGUUGACUUCUUCAGAAAGCAUGAAGGCUAGAAGACAAUAAGAUGACAUAUGUAAAGUGCUGACAAGAAAACAAGCUGUUAAUGAAUAAUCCUAGAGAAAUUCCUCUUUAAAAAUGAAGAUGACAUAAAAACAUUGUCAGAUAAACAAAAAUUGGAAGAAUAUCAUGCCAGUAGACCUGUUCUACAAGAAAUACUAAAUUCCUUUAAGCUGAAAGAAAUAACACAAACUGGUAAAUCUAUUGCCUAAGAAGAAAUGGUACAUAUGUGGGAAAAUAAAUAGUGUGUACAUUUUUCUCUUCCUCCCAAUUGAUUUUAAAAACAUGAUGUUUAAAGCAAUAACUCUAACACUGUAUUGUUGGAUUUAUUAAACAUAAAGAUAUAAAUAACAUUAGCAGAAAGGAAGGAUGGGAAAUUGAGCUAUACAGAGGCAAAGUUGCUGUAUUUUGCCAGAAUUAGGUCAGUAUUAACUUGAGGUAAAAUGUGAUCAAUUGAAGAUUCAUAUUAUAAUUCCUAGGGCAGUAACCAAGAGAAUAACACAAAAAGUAGAUUAAAAAAUAAGCAGGAAUGAAAGUGAUCACAAAAAAAAAAAUGUGUUUAACAUAAAAGAAGGUAGUAAAAGAGGAACAGAGGAACAAAAAGAACCUGAUAUAUAAAUAUGCAGGAAACAAAUAGCAAAUGACAUAUGUAAAUAGAACCAUGUCAAUAAUGGCAUUAAAUAUGCAUUAAUGAAAGGACAUUCACCAUCAUUAGUUAUUAGGAAAAUGUCAAUCAAAACCAUGUGAGAUACUAUUUCACAUCUACUAGGUUAAAAAAGAUAGAUAAUAGCAAGUGUUGGUGAGGGAGGAGGUGGAGACAUUGGAACCCUCAUGCACUGCUGGUGGGAAGGUAAAAUGUUUGGCUGCUUUCAGUCUGGCAGUUUCUGAAGAGGCAUAUACCCAAGAGAAAUGAAAACAUCCAUACAAAUCUUGUAUGAAAAUAUUCAUAGUAACAUUAUUCAUGAUAGCCAAAAAGUUAGAAACAACUCUAAUUCUAACAGCUAACAAACAGAUAUAUUAAAUUUGGUUAUGUCCACACAACAAAAUAUUAUUCAGCAAUAAAAAAGAAAUUUUGAUAUAUGUACAACAUGGAUGAAUCUUGAAAACAUUGCAUUACAUGAGAAAAUCCAAUCACCAAAGACCAUAUGUUAUAUGACUGCAUUUAUAUGAUAUGUGCAGAAUAGGAAAAUCUACAGUGACAGAAAGUACAUUAGUGGUUGCCUAGGGCUGAGGGUGGGGUGGUGGAGUAGGAAACAACUACAAAUGGGUACUGAGUUUUUUGAGGGGUAAGUACUAUUGUUUUAAAAUCAGAUUGUGGUGAUGGUUGCACAUUAAAGGCCUAUUAACCUCAUAAAGUUGUCAUUAGUCUUUGAAGUAAAAAUAUGUAAAAUAAAAAUAUCUGUAUAUAUAACAUAAGAAUUUGUCUCUAAACAGGGCCUAAAAUUCUUUGGAAAAGUUUGACAAGAUAUAUCACGUGAAUUCAGAUUCACCUCAAAGAAUUAUGUUUAGAUAGGAAAAAGGAAAUUUAUUUUUGUCUCAAGUAGAAAAAUAUAUGGCUUUGAGUUUUAAGCAGAUUUAGACUUUUAAAAUGUUAGAAUUGAUUCUUACUAAAAGUGAUUUGUAAAAUUACACCUUUGGUUUGAUCACCAGUGAUUACAAUGUUAUUCUCAUACCUUUGUAUAUUGAACUAUUUCUAGAACCAACUUUAUGUAGCUCCUGAACAGUAUGAGAGUGUGAUUGGUAUUUGUCACUUUUAUUUUAAAACUAGCAUCUGAACACUUCAAAGUUGUCAAUGUGGAUUGGUUAGACCAAUAACCACUGUUUGAUCCUUACUAUUAAAUUUUGUAACUAUCUAAUGGUAUAGUUCUUUCAAACAGGUGACAUGUUUCCGUGAUUGUUAUUUGGGAGGCAAUAAUUUAAUCAGUUCUUGUUUAA